Molecule: ribosomal RNA, 468 nt
Filed under: uncultured bacterium
Lineage: Bacteria
Description: partial 16S ribosomal RNA
Rfam family: Bacterial small subunit ribosomal RNA
Source: RNAcentral
GACGAACGCUGGCGGCGUGCUUAACACAUGCAAGUCGAACGGAAAGGCCCUGCUUUUGUGGGGUGCUCGAGUGGCGAACGGGUGAGUAACACGUGAGUAACCUGCCCUUGACUUUGGGAUAACUUUAGGAAACUGGGGCUAAUACCGGAUAGGAGCUCCUGCUGCAUGGUGGGGGUUGGAAAGUUUCGGCGGUUGGGGAUGGACUCGCGGCGUAUCAGCUUGUUGGUGGGGUAGUGGCUUACCAAGGCUUUGACGGGUAGCCGGCCUGAGAGGGUGACCGGCCACAUUGGGACUGAGAUACGGCCCAAACUCCAACGGGAGGCAGCAGUGGGGAAUAUUGCACAAUAGGCGGAAGCCUGAUGCAGCAACGCCGCGUGCGGGAUGACGGCCUUCGGGUUGUAAACCGCUUUCGCCUGUGACGAAGCGUGAGUGACGGUAAUGGGUAAAGAAGCACCAGCUAACUACGUG